RNAcentral lists this ribosomal RNA (2925 nucleotides) under Escherichia coli. RNAcentral's name for it is "23S ribosomal RNA". It matches the Rfam family "Bacterial large subunit ribosomal RNA". Lineage: Bacteria; Pseudomonadati; Pseudomonadota; Gammaproteobacteria; Enterobacterales; Enterobacteriaceae. The record is from RNAcentral.
GGGUUGUGAGGUUAAGCGACUAAGCGUACACGGUGGAUGCCCUGGCAGUCAGAGGCGAUGAAGGACGUGCUAAUCUGCGAUAAGCGUCGGUAAGGUGAUAUGAACCGUUAUAACCGGCGAUUUCCGAAUGGGGAAACCCAGUGUGAUUCGUCACACUAUCAUUAACUGAAUCCAUAGGUUAAUGAGGCGAACCGGGGGAACUGAAACAUCUAAGUACCCCGAGGAAAAGAAAUCAACCGAGAUUCCCCCAGUAGCGGCGAGCGAACGGGGAGCAGCCCAGAGCCUGAAUCAGUGUGUGUGUUAGUGGAAGCGUCUGGAAAGGCGCGCGAUACAGGGUGACAGCCCCGUACACAAAAAUGCACAUGCUGUGAGCUCGAUGAGUAGGGCGGGACACGUGGUAUCCUGUCUGAAUAUGGGGGGACCAUCCUCCAAGGCUAAAUACUCCUGACUGACCGAUAGUGAACCAGUACCGUGAGGGAAAGGCGAAAAGAACCCCGGCGAGGGGAGUGAAAAAGAACCUGAAACCGUGUACGUACAAGCAGUGGGAGCCUCUUUAUGGGGUGACUGCGUACCUUUUGUAUAAUGGGUCAGCGACUUAUAUUCUGUAGCAAGGUUAACCGAAUAGGGGAGCCGAAGGGAAACCGAGUCUUAACUGGGCGUUAAGUUGCAGGGUAUAGACCCGAAACCCGGUGAUCUAGCCAUGGGCAGGUUGAAGGUUGGGUAACACUAACUGGAGGACCGAACCGACUAAUGUUGAAAAAUUAGCGGAUGACUUGUGGCUGGGGGUGAAAGGCCAAUCAAACCGGGAGAUAGCUGGUUCUCCCCGAAAGCUAUUUAGGUAGCGCCUCGUGAAUUCAUCUCCGGGGGUAGAGCACUGUUUCGGCAAGGGGGUCAUCCCGACUUACCAACCCGAUGCAAACUGCGAAUACCGGAGAAUGUUAUCACGGGAGACACACGGCGGGUGCUAACGUCCGUCGUGAAGAGGGAAACAACCCAGACCGCCAGCUAAGGUCCCAAAGUCAUGGUUAAGUGGGAAACGAUGUGGGAAGGCCCAGACAGCCAGGAUGUUGGCUUAGAAGCAGCCAUCAUUUAAAGAAAGCGUAAUAGCUCACUGGUCGAGUCGGCCUGCGCGGAAGAUGUAACGGGGCUAAACCAUGCACCGAAGCUGCGGCAGCGACACUAUGUGUUGUUGGGUAGGGGAGCGUUCUGUAAGCCUGUGAAGGUGUACUGUGAGGUAUGCUGGAGGUAUCAGAAGUGCGAAUGCUGACAUAAGUAACGAUAAAGCGGGUGAAAAGCCCGCUCGCCGGAAGACCAAGGGUUCCUGUCCAACGUUAAUCGGGGCAGGGUGAGUCGACCCCUAAGGCGAGGCCGAAAGGCGUAGUCGAUGGGAAACAGGUUAAUAUUCCUGUACUUGGUGUUACUGCGAAGGGGGGACGGAGAAGGCUAUGUUGGCCGGGCGACGGUUGUCCCGGUUUAAGCGUGUAGGCUGGUUUUCCAGGCAAAUCCGGAAAAUCAAGGCUGAGGCGUGAUGACGAGGCACUACGGUGCUGAAGCAACAAAUGCCCUGCUUCCAGGAAAAGCCUCUAAGCAUCAGGUAACAUCAAAUCGUACCCCAAACCGACACAGGUGGUCAGGUAGAGAAUACCAAGGCGCUUGAGAGAACUCGGGUGAAGGAACUAGGCAAAAUGGUGCCGUAACUUCGGGAGAAGGCACGCUGAUAUGUAGGUGAAGCGACUUGCUCGUGGAGCUGAAAUCAGUCGAAGAUACCAGCUGGCUGCAACUGUUUAUUAAAAACACAGCACUGUGCAAACACGAAAGUGGACGUAUACGGUGUGACGCCUGCCCGGUGCCGGAAGGUUAAUUGAUGGGGUUAGCGGUAACGCGAAGCUCUUGAUCGAAGCCCCGGUAAACGGCGGCCGUAACUAUAACGGUCCUAAGGUAGCGAAAUUCCUUGUCGGGUAAGUUCCGACCUGCACGAAUGGCGUAAUGAUGGCCAGGCUGUCUCCACCCGAGACUCAGUGAAAUUGAACUCGCUGUGAAGAUGCAGUGUACCCGCGGCAAGACGGAAAGACCCCGUGAACCUUUACUAUAGCUUGACACUGAACAUUGAGCCUUGAUGUGUAGGAUAGGUGGGAGGCUUUGAAGUGUGGACGCCAGUCUGCAUGGAGCCGACCUUGAAAUACCACCCUUUAAUGUUUGAUGUUCUAACGUUGACCCGUUAUCCGGGUUGCGGACAGUGUCUGGUGGGUAGUUUGACUGGGGCGGUCUCCUCCUAAAGAGUAACGGAGGAGCACGAAGGUUGGCUAAUCCUGGUCGGACAUCAGGAGGUUAGUGCAAUGGCAUAAGCCAGCUUGACUGCGAGCGUGACGGCGCGAGCAGGUGCGAAAGCAGGUCAUAGUGAUCCGGUGGUUCUGAAUGGAAGGGCCAUCGCUCAACGGAUAAAAGGUACUCCGGGGAUAACAGGCUGAUACCGCCCAAGAGUUCAUAUCGACGGCGGUGUUUGGCACCUCGAUGUCGGCUCAUCACAUCCUGGGGCUGAAGUAGGUCCCAAGGGUAUGGCUGUUCGCCAUUUAAAGUGGUACGCGAGCUGGGUUUAGAACGUCGUGAGACAGUUCGGUCCCUAUCUGCCGUGGGCGCUGGAGAACUGAGGGGGGCUGCUCCUAGUACGAGAGGACCGGAGUGGACGCAUCACUGGUGUUCGGGUUGUCAUGCCAAUGGCACUGCCCGGUAGCUAAAUGCGGAAGAGAUAAGUGCUGAAAGCAUCUAAGCACGAAACUUGCCCCGAGAUGAGUUCUCCCUGACUCCUUGAGAGUCCUGAAGGAACGUUGAAGACGACGACGUUGAUAGGCCGGGUGUGUAAGCGCAGCGAUGCGUUGAGCUAACCGGUACUAAUGAACCGUGAGGCUUAACCUUACAACGCCGAAG